CGCCUGUUUAUCAAAAACAUUUUUAUCUAGUUAGAGAUAAUAUGGCCUGCCCAGUGACUUAAACGGCGGCGGUAUUUUGACCGUGCUAAGGUAGCAUAGUCAUUUGUUUCUUAAUUGGGAGCUGGAAUGAACGGUUGAACUAUGUUAAUAGGUGUGUUAGUUUAAAUAGAAGGUUAAAGUUAAAGUAAGAAUUCUUUAAUAUCUUAGGGGACGAUAAGACCCUAUAAGCUUGAUAGCUGUAUAUAUGAUUUUGUGGUUUGAGUUAAGUUAUUUUACUGGGGCGGUACUGGUCUUUUAACUAUCAGUUAAAUUAAGAUCCUUAAAAUAUAGAUGAGACGGAUAAGUUACUUUAGGGGUAACAGUGCAAUAUUUUUGGAGAGCUCUUAUCGAUAGAUAUGUUUGCAACC
This 407-nucleotide ribosomal RNA is filed under the name Diplacanthus brevispinus. RNAcentral describes it as "partial 16S ribosomal RNA". It matches the Rfam family "Archaeal large subunit ribosomal RNA", at positions 1889 to 2594 of the family's 2987-position model. Lineage: Eukaryota; Metazoa; Arthropoda; Malacostraca; Amphipoda; Acanthogammaridae. The record is from RNAcentral.